GAUGAACGCUGACAGAAUGCUUAACACAUGCAAGUCUACUUGAACUUCGGUUUGGGUGGCGGACGGGUGAGUAACGCGUAAAGAACUUGCCUCACAGUUAGGGACAACAUUUGGAAACGAAUGCUAAUACCUGAUAUUAUGAUUUUAGGGCAUCCUAGGAUUAUGAAAGCUAUAUGUGCUGUGAGAGAGCUUUGCGUCCCAUUAGCUAGUUGGAGAGGUAACGGCUCACCAAGGCGAUGAUGGGUAGCCGGCCUGAGAGGGUGAACGGCCACAAGGGGACGGAGACACGGCCCUUACUCCUACGGGAGGCAGCAGUGGGGAAUAUUGGACAAUGGACCAAAAGUCUGAUCCAGCAAUUCUGUGUGCACGAUGACGUUUUUCGGAAUGUAAAGUGCUUUCAGUUGGGAAGAAAAAAAUGACGGUACCAACAGAAGAAGUGACGGCUAAAUACGUG
RNAcentral lists this ribosomal RNA (454 nucleotides) under uncultured bacterium. Its description in RNAcentral is "partial 16S ribosomal RNA". It matches the Rfam family "Bacterial small subunit ribosomal RNA", at positions 28 to 507 of the family's 1533-position model. The record is from RNAcentral.